This is a transfer RNA of Ovis aries (sheep), 57 nucleotides long. It matches the Rfam family "tRNA", at positions 8 to 63 of the family's 71-position model. From Rfam's summary of the family: Transfer RNA (tRNA) molecules are approximately 80 nucleotides in length. Their secondary structure includes four short double-helical elements and three loops (D, anti-codon, and T loops). NCBI's taxonomy places the organism in Eukaryota, Metazoa, Chordata, Mammalia, Artiodactyla, Bovidae. The record is from Rfam.
UGGUUGAGAUGGUAAAGAACCUGCCUGCAAUGCAGGAGACCCAGGUUUGAUCCCUGG